UUUGACCAAAAAGGUAAAGGAAAAAAAAAACGUUACGUCUAAUUUCAUCACUUGAUAUCCUUGAAUCAAAUCCUCCGAAUAAAAAUCUAUGCUCUAAUUAAUUAGACUAGGAACUAAAUAUGAAAAGAAACUAAAUCUCAAGUUAAGUAGGAUCAAUACAAUACAUUCUGAUGACCAAAACUAGGCGUUUGGCAUAGCACAACAGUAAGGAUACCAAUCUUUAGAGAGAGAGAGAGCGGCCUCAAAAGUAACUUCAUCCAACCUAAAUGCAGAGAGAUUUUCAGGCCUCAAAAGAUGAUUUCGCAUUCCUUUAUUUUCCAUUCUAUAUUGAAAUAUAUACAGAUUUGUGGGAUUAUUGUAAUUGUACAAGAUUUUAGGAGUUUGUAUAUCUACUCGGAAGCUAAAUAGGCUGCAAAAUUAAACACAACUGUGAAGCCAAAAGGGUAAUACUCUCCCAAAACGCUAGGGGCCUUGAGUGGAUUCAUCGCGGUUACGUUGAUGACUCUUGAAAGCAUAGUUAUGUCUCAAACUCUCGAUCCAUAUGUUAUUAACCUACACAUGCCACAUCCACACCAUGCUGCGUGUUCCUUAACAUGCUCUUCUUAUAAGAUGACUCGGAGCGUUUUAAAUCUUCCAAGUUUCUAUCACAGGUACUGGCUGAGAGGCAAAUUCCAUCAUAUCCCCUGAGAGGCAACUUUGUGGAUCAUGUCUGAAAGCCUUUAUAAGUCUCCUUUAAGCGACUGGAAUUCUAGUUGCUCAUGAAAAUCCUCAUAUGGUGAAGAUUCACUAGAAGAAUCACUUUCAAAUGGUUCAAAUGGAGUGGUUUCCCUUGGAGACGAUGGAAGUGAAUCUCUUUGUGAUGAGGUUGAACCUUUCUGUCCUCUUGAGCGGAAUUUCUUUGUGUGCCGCCUGAUAAGCUUCUUAGCCUUUGUUAUUGUUAGUUGCCUAGCAAAAGGAGAGAACUCUACAUCACUUUCACUCCACUCGCCAUGGAAAUCAUUCUCUGCUUCACCCCUCAUAGUUCGCAGCACAAAUGCCCUGGCCUUGCGGCGUUGAGUAUUGAAAAGACCCCUUAUGGAAGUUACAAAUCCAUCUCCUGCUCCAUCACUUGGACGCUUAAGCCAGUUUGGAUACUGAUCAGAUUUGCUUGGCUGACCAUCAUUGUCGCUAAAGUUAAGCUCAAUAUCAGGGACACCAGCUCCAUUGGAUUCCCGUUGAUUAUGUGCUUUAUCUUUAAAUUUCUUGCCCUGCAUUCCUGUCACAGACUUCAGCGUUCCCCAAACAACAUGCUUCUUUACUCGUGAGAACAGCCUCCUCCAAGUCCCAGUGAACUCAACACGAUGGAAAGUAUCCAUCAGCAACUUAAGCUCAUGCAGAUUAAAUCUUGAGCUUUCAUAAGUAAUCUGUAGCUCGACCUGACUUAUCUUAAUAUUGUGAAACUCCAUGACUUUUCGAGGUCGGGAUCUCUUCUCUUCAUUUGAUUUACCAAUCUUUUUUCCUUCAUGGGAUGAACGACCAGACUUUACAAGCUUGGACUCUUUCGAUUUACUUUUAGAGGAUUCAUAUGGUUGUUCAUUAAAACCAAGUGGGUCGGCUUUUGAAGUAGAAAUACUGGAUGAAUGAACCUGCAAGACAAGUUCGGUAGCAACAGAUUCUGCAAGUGUCUCUUCCCAUGUUCUGUCAAAAGAUGAGGUUCUUCUCAACUCUGGGCCUGAACCAACAAUGAGUUUGGAUGUGACAUCAGAAUCUUUUGUUGCAUGGCUGUAUGAUGAAGAAGCUUCUUGGAUUGAUGAACCUUUCUUUACACGCCUUGCGCCAGCAGUUGUUGAAACUUUCCAAACUUCCUGUCGCCUUUGUGAAUCUUGUUCUUCUUCUGGGAAGAAAUACUCCCACAUCAUCCUGUACAUCGUCUCUGUCAAAUGAAUCUUAAGGGGAUAAAUCUCUACCUGAAGCAAAAGGGAGAGAUUAUGUUAAGCAAGACUCAGAAAAUAUACACUAAUUUUGAAACAGAAUACCCAAAAUUGGUUGGAUUAAGUUCUAAAACAUCCACAUCAAAGAAGGAAAACAAAAAUAUUACUUACAGUGCAACUCCUAUACAGAAGCCAAAGAAACUUAAGCAGGACAAUUUCAAUUUAGAAACUAAAAUGACCUCCCCUUCAAAAAGAUCACUGUUUCUCACCCUCCAAUAACAACUGGGUGAGAGAUUAGUUCCAUAUUUCUUCUUCCACUCUGAAAUAACUCUACAAUGCCAGCAUCUAAGAAAACUUGAUUGUUGGAAGCACCCAGUAAAGCCCAUAAUACAACAACAUGUUAAUGGUGGGCAAGUAGAUUAGUACUCCUGCAUUUUACACCUAAGAAGCCUCUCUGCUUCAACUUAUAAGUUACCAAGAGGGCCAACAGACAUUAUUUUCAUUCUCUGCAUAUUCCUUUUAACUUUUCUUCCUAUUUAACCAAUGUCUCUUGACAGAUAACUGCACAGACGGGGAAAGAUUUUAACAGAUUUAAAGAUGCAUGCAAAUGGUUUGUGCCCCACAUCUUGUUUCAAUUAAUGCUACUGUGAGAAGUCAAAAGAGAGAAACAUAAAGGGACAAAAAGGGAAACAAAACUAAAUUACCUGGAAGAGUUCAAUAUGGGAAUUUCCAUCCCUUGGAGCUCCUUGCUUUGCAUCUACACGAAGCAUGACUUUCUUCCCCCAAUCUGGUGGAGGAUUCCACGCUGACAGAACCAUAUCAGACUUGGCAUUUGGCAGGCAGUUUCUCACAACAAAAUAUUUUGUUGUAAAUAGAGCAACACCAACAUCCUUGUAAUCCCGGUCAAAAUCAAAGAUCAUGUCAUUUAUCUCAGCCUCAGCAAAAGAUUUACCAUCUACAAGCAUGUUCCAAACAACUUUGUUGAUUUUCAAAGAUAUACGCAUUGCAUAGGAUGGACUUUUGUUCUUCUCCUUCUCCAUCAGACGUAGCUGGGCAGCUUUCUGCAAAGCCAUCCUUAAUGAUGCAGAUGCUGCCUUCCUAAACCUUUUUGCAUUCACAAGCUCUCUCUUCAGGCCUUGUACCAGAUUGGAUCUUCCACCAGUGAUCAUCCACAAUUCGCCUUCCUUUCUUGAAAGGUCCCCAGAAGUAUCACCAUUAAGAGACAAUCUCCUGAUGUCAUCAAGAAGUAACUUCUGCUCACGUUCUUUCCGUUCAAGUUCGAUUUUAGCAAGUUCAACCUCUUCUACACCAUCAGGCACCAUCUCAUCCGCCUCCUCUUCAACAUCUUCAUCAUCUUCAGCUGGAAAUGACAGACUACUCUUUCUAGGCUUGGGAAGCCGUGCAAAAAGGAGAUUGGUCAACACAUCCAGCAUAACCUGAAACUGACGAGAUGUCAUUGUAGCAGUUAUAUUAUCUGUAUUGAAAGUGAGCUCUUUUAGAGGCUUCACCUUCAGGUCUGGAGUCCCGCCUUUGUGCCUUGUGUACCGAAAGUACAUAUCACAAGGCAUAAACACUCUUUCAAGUAGAGCACCAGUACGCUUUACUUUAGGGGAGCUUCUUCGAAUUUUUGGGAGCCACUGCAGUCCAGCCCCAGGAUCAACAUCAGUUGGUGCAACAUGAGCCUGCACAUGCUCCAACAUCACAGAGAACUCCAUGCGCUUCCAUGUCAUUUCAGGUACAGAUUCAGGAAGGUGUAAAUCUCCACUGCCCAGUGCUUGCUCAAUCAUCUCAUAACCAACAUGAAGGACAGAGUGAAAUGAUCGGGCCAAAACACGACCACUAACAGCAGCAAGGAGGAAUCUACCAUUGGCUUCUUCAGAAUGCAGAUUGAAUUGUGGCUCGAUAACAUUCACCAUGAAAUGGCGAGUCCCUUCCUCCUCAGAAUCAUCUAUGCUUCCAUUUGUUGCUGGAAAUAAAGCAACAGCAGAAGAUGAAUUCUCUAUUUUAGCUGAAUGUGAUGGAGAUGAGAGAGACCCUGAAGUCUCUGCAUGUUGAGAAGGGGAAUCAGCAUUAUGGCUGGUAGAAGGGGGUUUAGAUAUAUCAUCUUGAUUCACUUCACUUUCCGCAUGUGAUUGGUUCUCCUCAAGUAAUUUCCUCUGUGCAUACUGCCGAGAAGGAGAAGGCUUGGGAGGUGCAAAUGCUUUGGACAAUCCACCAACCCAGGACCAAACAGCAUCCCUAUUCUCAAUAUUCCAUAAAAGCUUGAGACUAUAAACAAAAACUCGCUGACAAUUGUCAGCAAUUACCACAUUGUAUCCAUCAUCAUCACCUGGGUCAGAUCUUGUGUGAUCAUCACUCUCACUCCCAUUUUCGAACUCAGACCUCACAUAUGUCAUCUCAAGAUUUUUUCUCCCAGCCUCUUGCCAUGCCAAUAACCUUGUAGGGUCAGCCUUUGGUGCCUGCCUUCUGAUUGUAAAAUAAUCACAUGAUAAAAGAAAUCCAUCAUCCCGGUGCUUCUCAGUGCAACCACUGAUAUUAUUGUGUUUUUCACUGGGAAUUCUACCCAUAGUUGAAGGCUGGCAAUUUUUCUUUGUCAUUUGAACUACUUUUGCAACAGUGGUAGAAUCUUCUUUAUCUAAGAUGGCCUUAGGCAUGUGAAGGUCCACACCCUGGUAAACAAGAUCAAGAGUGUCUCGCUUGCAUUCAAAAGUGUACUUCUGCUUACCCCGACUGAAACAGAUUUCAUAUUUCAACUUUGUCAUAUUAAAAGUAAGUCCUUUUGCUGGGUCAUCAUCAUCUAAUGGCAUGUGUUUUAUACAAGCGGGUGUAGCAUCUACACGGAGGAAAAAUUCUGUCAUCACUCUGUCCAGUGACAAAUUUCCUGAUCUGGGAAUUCUGGGAACCCCAAAACGAGGCCACCGGGAGAAAUAACGUAAUUUGUGAGGAGGAAGAUAAUUCAAGUUCCAAAACUUCUUUAACCAUGCAAAAUCAUGAGCACCGACAUUCAGUGUUGGAACAAUUGAAACAUUUUCAGGUUUGUGAGGUGGAUUAUAGACAGUUCCAUCUACUACAGUGCUGUCUCCCAUGGAGGAAGAAGAGGAUUGAUUUUCACAUAAGGAAAUAGAGGGUCUUAGAGAGAAAUUCCACCGGAGCAAGAGAGAUGUAGACCUGAAGGGAUCAAAAACUUUUUCACGAGGCCUCCCUUCAUUAGGGAGUGCGAAUAGAUAAUGAUUCAAUGGAGUGCCAGAAUCACAGUCCCAAUCCAUUGUGACUUCAAGAAUAAAGACUGGAGCUUCAAGGAAAGCACCAUAUGCACCACUAGGAAGUUUUAAGCCACAGUUACUUGCCAACCUCUCCAAACUGCUCAAGAAAAUCUUAAAAUCCUUUGCAGACAUAUAAAUACGGCCAUCUGACUGCUGGAUCUCCAUGGAACCAGAUGUGAUUUGAAGCUUGUCAAGCUUUUCAUAAGGAUCAGUUGUUGCAAGAAUAUGCCAUCUAGUUUCAGAAAAGCCUAAGGUGAUAUUUCCAUGAAUGUAAUUUCUCAUAUCAUCCCACCAUGGUAAACUGCGCUCCUUUUUCGGUGGUUGAACUAGUGGACCAGGAUUUCUGACACUUAGAUUUGCCCUACGAAGAGCAACUGUAAAAGCAUAGCUCACAUCAGCAAAAGAUGGUUCAUAACCGACACCAAAUGAUACUUCAGCUUUCUGAAAAUACAUAGGCAAAUCGAAGUAUGAUUUUGUUGGAGGAGUUGUGCCGGUAGCUGAACGGAGCAAGCGCACCUUUCUCCACCUCCCAAUGAAGACAUCUUGGUAAAUUUGGGGCUGAAAGCAGGUUGCCUGCUGCGCUAGCACAACACGACCUUCACAUUUACCAGCCGCACCAGCAAAAAGAGGAAAUGUGUAAUUUCUUAUCUGAGCAACAAGGGUGCCAGUGUGCAAUAAAAUGUUACUCCCAUAGAGUCGAGAAAAUGGUAUGUCCACUUCACGACAGACAGGAUCAAGCUUUUUCAGAACCUCUAUCAUCCCAUCAUCUCCACCAUCAAUCCUUGUCAAGCUUACAUCCAGCUCUGUAGCAGAAAUGGAAAGAAGAGAAGUUCUUGAAGUGCUAGGCUUAAAACCAGACUGAAACCCCUCCCUACAGGCACCUGAACCUUCAGAAGGUACUAACUUCUGGCAUGCCUGGUAAUAUGAUCUAAAUGAUUGUUUGUAAAUUUCUUCUUGCAUUUUCUGAAUAGCUAAAGGAUCUUGCAUGUCAAUCUGAACCCCAUUACAAUUAACCUUUCUUUCAAUGGUGGAGUCAUUUGUUUCAGCAGUUUUAGAACAAUUAUUAACUUUGGAAAUAAAUUCAUCAAGAAACUUCUGCCUGACAGCCAGCUCACAGGCGUCACUCUUCAUCAGCUGGUAGUGCUCAUCAAGCCAACCCUGCAUCGGUUCUUCCUCAAUAUCAGCAAUUAGCUUGCGUAUGCAAAACUUUACACAUCCAAAUUUUGUUGAACUAGACUUUUUAGACUUAGAGCUUUCUUUCUUCAUGGGAAAUAUAAGUUGAGUUUUAGCAGCAGUAACAAGCUUCAAAGCCCGCAACAUAUCUUCAACUGAAUCAUCAAUGGCACGCAACUCCAACCUGUACGGCAUUCUAAUAUGAACAUCAAGCCCUUGAAUCACCCAAUCCCAUGUGAUAGCUGAAGGCAGUUUUGCAUUAGAUGAACUGCUAGAGGUACUAGGUAUGCGAGAAAUUUGCAUUCUACCACUUCUGAAUACUUUGGCCCCAUUAAAACUUAAUAUAAGUCCUUCAAGAAGUACUCCUAUACGGGCAUUCUCUGAAAAAAUUGACUGAACAUGCACCAUUGCAUCAACUCCAUCUCCAACCCCAGCAGAUACACUCAGCAUUUCCACGUCAACAGCGAAAAUAUUUUCCUUUUUCUUAGGCUUAUCAAAAUUUCCUGAUUCCAAAGAGGCAUCUUUCUUCUGUUCAGUAUCUCUCAUGCUUGAGGCUUCUUCCGUCCUUUCAUUACCAUGUUCCUGAAGCUUUUGAUUGUGCACCAGUAAUUUCAGCUGCAGAACAAGUUCAAUCAAUGACAAAUGUGCAUCAGGCUCCCACCUGACAGUAAUUUCAGUAGCACUGAAAAGAGAGCAAAUAGCAAUCCCUUUAAGACCACCAGAGCGCCGUACAAAUUUUGCAUUCUGCACAUCAAACAAUGUUACUUUUGUAUCAGAUCUAUGUUUCUCCAAAUGUUCCUGAUAAAUAGACCUUGCUCUUUCAAGUUCCAUUUCUGUAGUUUGGUUCUCCUUGAUCACACACAAAGCAUAAUGGAAUAUGUCAAGAGAAAGAGAAUAUUUCAACUUCUUGCAAUCAUCAGAAACUGUGGAUAUCACACUUGCAGUACGUGGGGUGCCAUCAUCUGAGACACUAAUUACAACUCGACCACCCUGCGAUCCAUAAUUGACGCGCUUUGGAUCAGCAACAACAGCAUUGUCCAAACUUGUUUCACCACAAAAAUUUACAGUGCAACGUUCCAAAUUAAAUUUCAAUACUUGAAUCCCUUUCCCUGAUGGUUUAGAAGAUCGCCCACCUCGGCUCUGUGAUGUUUUUUUACCAGAACCAGAUAGACUUUUCAAGAGAGAUUGAAAGGAAAUGGCAGUUGCUAUAAGUGAUUGUACACGUUUGAAGUUAAAAUAAAUACCCAUACCAGUCACAUCAACAGAGAGAACUAAUUUACAUCUAGCACCAUCCUCUUCAGAAGAUUCAAUAUCCUUUUUGCCCCAAUCUAAACUAACCCUUGCUAUAUGAACUAAAGCACCUGAAUUUGAUUCAACAACAAAUGGGCUCUCUUUCAAGCAUUCUUGAUAUUCAUCUGACAUGUGGAAGUUUAGUUCACCAAGUUCCAAAUGUAUUGCAGUACCCAUGCUUGACACGUUAUUUGCAAAAACAUGUGAUGAUUGUGAGCAUAAAUGAUACAAAGGCAACCCGUUGAUACUAUAAAGAACAAUCGUCAUCUCAGGAGCUGAGACAGUACAUGUCCACAUGAUGGCUUUGGAUGCAGUUGAUUGUGAUUUUACUGGCACAUGAAUUUCCUCUCGAAGUACCAUUUUUUUCUUUCUUGAGUAGUGGAGUUGUAACCAUGGCUUCAACCUACUCAUUAUAAUGUUGCAUUGAGUACCUCCCAGCCUAACAUCUAUUUCAGCUCUAACUGGUGAGGUUGGCUCUAUUGGAAUGUAAACAAAAGAGAUGACAACAACUUUCAAUAUCUCCAUAACAGAAGUGCCAGCUUCUCUGAGAAGAUGUAUCUCACUGAAAUCCAUCUGAACAUCAAGGCGAGUACUCUCCCCCAUAUCUUCAGUGCAUAAGGAUUUGAUGCUCUUUAAUUGAAUGCCCAUGAUAUUAUUCUCAAUAACAAGAUCAUGCUCCCGAUGAACAAACCUCACAUCCAGUUUUGGUAAAGUGAAGCUAACCUUUUGAGGAAACAUAGAAGUGUACUUUAUAAUUGCAACAAGUACUGAUUGUUUUCGUUGUGGAUCUUUAACAACAGCAGAAUUGACUACAGCUUUAUCUGUCUGAGUAGAAGCAUCUAAAGUCCUGUUUUUUGAAAGCAGCUUCUCAUUCAGGUGCACAAUGACCUCACCACAGGUAAUGUCCAAAUUGCGGAUAAUUACACCUACCUCCCUAUCAUGACCAAAUUCACAAGAGAGAGAAAAAUCUUCACAAAUGAAGGAAGCAAAAGGCCCUUCUGUUAUACCAAAUGAUGUCUCGCCUACAGAAAUGCAUCCUCCACCAUCAUAGUUGGAUGAUUGGUCACAACUAACACGUGGUUCACCCAUGUGAAUAAUAAUAGGUAAUAUGCGUAGCUUAACAAAUAGAUUUGGCUUGGAUCCACCAUCUUUGGUUAUAUCCAAUCUCAAUUCCUUAAUUUCAAUCAUAGCUUUGGGACUCUUUACAACCAAAUCUGUAACAGAAACUGACAAAAAUCUUGCUAUGUUAGCUAAGACCAUCCACUUUCCCCGGCCUGAAUUGCGAGUUCGGGCUUUUUGAGCUUUAGUUUUCUGUGAGCCUCUGCUAGAAGACCUCAUUACAAUUUCCAAGUCACAUAUUAAUACUUGCAGCUUAGGAUCUCUGGAAAAGAAACCAACCCCAAGUUUGACCAGGGACUGGCGUACACUGAGUCUAAUUUCACCAACAGACACAGAUUCAACAGCACCCUUUUUAAACUUCACUACAACAUCUCUUAAACAUUUCCAUCCACCAACCCGAAAUCCAACAGAUGCUCCAACAAUCCGGCUUAAAAUCCAAGCCAGCAACCUAGAAGCAAAUAUGAAGACCAUCCACAAUGUGAUGGAAACCAUCAAGAAUCCGAAGAGGAAUUUCACUGGUGAGGCUGCCAUUGUCAAUUGAAUUGAAAUUAUCACGUCCGAAACUCGAUCAAAUCAUCCAAAAUAACCAGAGAUCCAAAUAAAAAGCAUUCUAUGCACAGAACUUCAUGUCAAGAACCCAAAUAACAUUUCCAAAUAAGAAAAAGAAACCCUAAGGAAUUGAACCAAUUGAAGACUGAAGAGGGGAAUUUUCCUCAAAUUUGGUACGGGCUUUAAUUUUCACUUUCAGGAAAUCAGGAACCAAUCUUCGAGGCAUGGCAAUCAGUUCCGUCUCAUUUAUAAGAGCGUAGAUCCAAUCCUUGAGGUUCUCGCUGAUCACAUAGAGAGAGAAAGAGAAA
RNAcentral lists this unclassified non-coding RNA (9612 nucleotides) under Hevea brasiliensis (rubber tree). The record is from RNAcentral. Lineage: Eukaryota; Viridiplantae; Streptophyta; Magnoliopsida; Malpighiales; Euphorbiaceae.